UACGUAGGGUGCGAGCGUUAAUCGGAAUUACUGGGCGUAAAGCGCACGUAGGCGGAUUGUUAAGUCGGGGGUGAAAUCCUGGAGCUCAACUCCAGAACUGCCUUCGAUACUGGCGAUCUUGAGUCCGGGAGAGGUGAGUGGAACUCCGAGUGUAGAGGUGAAAUUCGUAGAUAUUCGGAAGAACACCAGUGGCGAAGGCGGCUCACUGGCCCGGUACUGACGCUGAGGUGCGAAAGCGUGGGGAGCAAACAGG
This 253-nucleotide ribosomal RNA is filed under the name uncultured bacterium. RNAcentral's name for it is "partial 16S ribosomal RNA". It matches the Rfam family "Bacterial small subunit ribosomal RNA", at positions 524 to 776 of the family's 1533-position model. The record is from RNAcentral.